RNAcentral lists this ribosomal RNA (506 nucleotides) under uncultured bacterium. RNAcentral describes it as "partial 16S ribosomal RNA". It matches the Rfam family "Bacterial small subunit ribosomal RNA", at positions 29 to 523 of the family's 1533-position model. The record is from RNAcentral.
AGUGAACGCUGGCGGUAGGCCUAACACAUGCAAGUCGAACGGUAGCACAGGAGAGCUUGCUCUCUGGGUGGCGAGUGGCGGACGGGUGAGGAAUACACCGGAAUCUACUCUGUCGUGGGGGAUAACGUAGGGAAACUUACGCUAAUACCGCAUACGACCUACGGGUGAAAGCAGGGGAUCUUCGGACCUUGCGCGAUUGAAUGAGCCGAUGUCGGAUUAGCUAGUUGGCGGGGUAAAGGCCCACCAAGGCGACGAUCCGUAGCUGGUCUGAGAGGAUGAUCAGCCACACUGGAACUGAGACACGGUCCAGACUCCUACGGGAGGCAGCAGUGGGGAAUAUUGGACAAUGGGCGCAAGCCUGAUCCAGCCAUACCGCGUGGGUGAAGAAGGCCUUCGGGUUGUAAAGCCCUUUUGUUGGGAAAGAAAUCCAGCUGGCUAAUACCCGGUUGGGAUGACGGUACCCAAAGAAUAAGCACCGGCUAACUUCGUGCCAGCCGCCGCCGUAA